Molecule: ribosomal RNA, 1821 nt
Filed under: Triticum aestivum (bread wheat)
Lineage: Eukaryota; Viridiplantae; Streptophyta; Magnoliopsida; Poales; Poaceae
Description: partial small subunit ribosomal RNA
Source: RNAcentral
AUGACAGGAUCUAGAGUCAAUCCAUGGGCUUUGUCGAUCGCGGGAGACGUGCCACCACCUAUGCAAAUUCCACAACGAUCACGAGAGGUGCAUAAACAUCCAAAUGCACAUGAUCAGGUUAAUGUUCUCAUACCAUCAUUUAAUGGCCGUUUUAGACCUGCUUUAUAUAUUGAAUGGGAGUUCGACAUAAAUAUUAUAUUUGCUUCCCAUAAUUUUGAUGAACGUAAAAAAGUUAAGGUUGCGGUUGGUUCUUUCACUGGUUAUGCUUUAGUUUGGUGGAGUGAAUAUUGUUGGUUACACCCUGAUUAUAUACCUAUUACAUGGGAUGAUUUGAAACUUGCCAUGCGACAUACAUUCGUCCCCGCUUAUUAUACUCGUGACAUGAUUAAAAAGUUGCAACAUUUAAAACAAGGUAGUGACACUGUAACGAAAUAUUAUGAUGAUUUACAAACUACCUUGUUGCAUUCCUCUUUAGAAGAAAGUGAAGAAGAAUUUAUGGAUAGAUUUUGGGGAGGAUUAAACCAUGACAUUCAGGAGAUACUAAUUAAUGAAACAUGUUAUCCUAUGGAUCGUUUGUUCCGUCUUGCAUGCAAAGCUGAACAGGAGAUAACAAGACGUGUUGCCCACAAGAUAAACAAGCGGAAGGUGCAAAUCCCACGAGCUGCGACGGUUGUUCCUUCCACCACUGCGUCUCCUAUGGCAACAACAUCCAUUGUUGAGAGCACUACAUCACCUCCACCGUGUGACAUGUCGCCACCUAGAGUGCCUACAUCAUCUUUGUUGAUCAUAAGAGGUAAUGACAAAGGUACCGAUCUUCCUCCUCCACAUGAGUAUGAUGAAUGCCUUGUCAAUUUAAAUGAACCAUGCGAUGAGCUACCCACUACUUUGAUCACACCAGCUAUUUUAGAGGACUAUGUUCAUGAUUUGACUUUGCCAUGUGAUCAAACAAUUUUGAGUGAACCCAUUGAAUUAACUAUUGAUGCAAAAGAACCACGUGAAUCAGUGAAAAGAUCAGAUUUGGAUCAAAUACGUUUGAAAAUAGUUGUGCCAGUGUUUAAUCAUUUUGAUAUGACCUCUAAUCUUGGUGAUGGUUCAUCAAGGUUGGGAUGGUUUAAUGAUGAGCAUUGCCAAUCUUUUAUUAUGAAUAAGAGCUUCACUUAUAUGUGCAAACUGAGUUGCAAUAUUUUCAUGCCUUUGACUUCUUCUGAUAAUAUAUUGGCUUUAUUUUUCACGACUUUUGAAGGGUGCUCUUGUCUAACUGUGUCACAUGUGCCACAACUGAGAUCAGUUAAAAUGGAUGACAUAUACAUAUACAACGUGUACACCUUGUCUCUAUUGUUAGCCAUAUUUCAGAUUAAGCAACGCCGAGGACGGCUUUGUUUUCAAGAAGGGGAGGAUGAUGAGGACAUGGCUACCACAGUUACACCCAUAUCCCCUGUUGUUUUACCUCUUGGAACAGUUGCUAGAGCUCAGAUACACCAAUUAAAUUAUCAGGUACUUUCGUUUCUUGGUAAUGUUUCUAGUGUUCAUGAGAAUAUGAUGCUGCCUAACGUAGAUACAUUUGUGUUGCUUGCAAUUGAAGGGCCUAGAACGGACAAGAAGGAUGAACAUUGGAGCAUGGUCAAGCACGGAGAUGAAGGUGUGUGCAAAGAGAACAAGAACGGAGGUUCAAGUGGAGAUUUCCGGACUUUGAAGCCACCAUGGAGACAUACAAGAAGAUGGACGAAAUAUACAAGAUGGCCUUUCAUAAAUUUCGUCCCUAGCUUAUUAUUGGUGUUGCGCCACCUUAUUUUGGGCCAGGCCCAUGUAAUCUAUUUUUAG